UAAAAGGCAAGGAACGGGCAAAGUAGACGCCCCCGCCUCCUCCAGAGAGGGGUCGCCGUGGGCUGGAAGCGGCCUUAGGUAGGCAGGCGUUGAAGUGCGCCCGGGAGCUGGGUGGCCGAAAGGUUAGAAGCUUAGUAGGCUACCACGGGUUCGCCCCGUUAGAGGCGAAGGCGCUUUUCUUGCGCCAAAAGAGGGGGAAGGCAGAUUUUAGGUUGCCUUCCAAGCAGGGUGGGACCGCGGAGGCCCUCCGCCCCUGAG
Molecule: non-coding RNA, 258 nt
Filed under: Thermanaeromonas toyohensis
Lineage: Bacteria; Bacillati; Bacillota; Clostridia; Neomoorellales; Neomoorellaceae
Description: T-box sequence
Rfam family: T-box leader
About the family: Uncharged tRNA acts as the effector for transcription antitermination of genes in the T-box leader family. T-boxes are found upstream of many aminoacyl-tRNA synthetase genes and some amino acid biosynthetic genes usually in Gram-positive bacteria. The anticodon of a specific tRNA base pairs to a specifier sequence within the T-box motif, and the NCCA acceptor tail of the tRNA base pairs to a conserved bulge in the T-box antiterminator hairpin.
Source: RNAcentral